RNAcentral lists this ribosomal RNA (192 nucleotides) under Triticum aestivum (bread wheat). RNAcentral describes it as "partial small subunit ribosomal RNA". The record is from RNAcentral. Lineage: Eukaryota; Viridiplantae; Streptophyta; Magnoliopsida; Poales; Poaceae.
AUGGACUUUGAACAUUGGAUAGAGAUUCUAACAUCUAAAAAGAAUAUUAGGGUUAUACAGAUUCGAACAAUAGACCUUCUCAAUAAAAAAAAUCAAACUGAUUAUUGUUGAAAUUAUGUGAACUGUUUCAAAGACCCAACAUGUUUUUUUUUGCAUUGGGCUCUUUCAUAAACUGAUUUAAAGAUCAGUUAG